GAUGAACGCUGGCGGCGUGCCUAAUACAUGCAAGUCGAGCGAACAGUUGAGGAGCUUGCUCCUCUGACGUUAGCGGCGGACGGGUGAGUAACACGUGGAUAACCUACCUAUAAGACUGGGAUAACUUCGGGAAACCGGAGCUAAUACCGUAUAAUAUAUUGAACCGCAUGGUUCAAUAGUGAAAGACGGUUGUGCUGUCACUUAUAGAUGGAUCCGCGCCGCAUUAGCUAGUUGGUAAGGUAACGGCUUACCAAGGCUACGAUGCGUAGCCGACCUGAGAGGGUGAUCGGCCACACUGGAACUGAGACACGGUCCAGACUCCUACGGGAGGCAGCAGUAGGGAAUCUUCCGCAAUGGGCGAAAGCCUGACGGAGCAACGCCGCGUGAGUGAUGAAGGUCUUCGGAUCGUAAAACUCUGUUAUUAGGGAAGAACAAAUGUGUAAGUAACUAUGCACGUCUUGACGGUACCUAAUCAGAAAGCCACGGCUAACUACGUG
RNAcentral lists this ribosomal RNA (497 nucleotides) under uncultured bacterium. RNAcentral describes it as "partial 16S ribosomal RNA". It matches the Rfam family "Bacterial small subunit ribosomal RNA", at positions 28 to 507 of the family's 1533-position model. The record is from RNAcentral.